Molecule: ribosomal RNA, 583 nt
Filed under: uncultured Paracoccaceae bacterium
Lineage: Bacteria; Pseudomonadati; Pseudomonadota; Alphaproteobacteria; Rhodobacterales; Paracoccaceae
Description: bacterial SSU rRNA
Rfam family: Bacterial small subunit ribosomal RNA
Source: RNAcentral
AGUCGUGCCUGCAGUCGACGAUUCCUACGGGAGGCAGCAGUGGGGAAUCUUAGACAAUGGGGGAAACCCUGAUCUAGCCAUGCCGCGUGAGUGAUGAAGGCCUUAGGGUCGUAAAGCUCUUUCGCCAGGGAUGAUAAUGACAGUACCUGGUAAAGAAACCCCGGCUAACUCCGUGCCAGCAGCCGCGGUAAUACGGAGGGGGUUAGCGUUGUUCGGAAUUACUGGGCGUAAAGCGCGCGUAGGCGGAUUAGUCAGUCAGAGGUGAAAUCCCAGGGCUCAACCCUGGAACUGCCUUUGAUACUGCUAGUCUAGAGUUCGAGAGAGGUGAGUGGAAUUCCGAGUGUAGAGGUGAAAUUCGUAGAUAUUCGGAGGAACACCAGUGGCGAAGGCGGCUCACUGGCUCGAUACUGACGCUGAGGUGCGAAAGUGUGGGGAGCAAACAGGAUUAGAUACCCUGGUAGUCCACACCGUAAACGAUGAAUGCCAGUCGUCGGCAAGUAUACUUGUCGGUGACACACCUAACGGAUUAAGCAUUCCGCCUGGGGAGUACGGUCGCAAGAUUAAAACUCAAAUGAAUUGACGG